RNAcentral lists this ribosomal RNA (253 nucleotides) under uncultured bacterium. RNAcentral describes it as "partial 16S ribosomal RNA". It matches the Rfam family "Bacterial small subunit ribosomal RNA", at positions 524 to 776 of the family's 1533-position model. The record is from RNAcentral.
UACGCAGGGGGCAAGCGUUGUCCGGAAUCAUUGGGCGUAAAGCGCGUGUAGGCGGUUCGGUAAGUCGGCUGUGAAAGUCCAGGGCUCAACCCUGGGAUGCCGGUCGAUACUGCCGGACUAGAGUUCGGAAGAGGCGAGUGGAAUUCCCGGUGUAGCGGUGAAAUGCGCAGAUAUCGGGAGGAACACCAAUGGCGAAGGCAGCUCGCUGGGACGUUACUGACGCUGAGACGCGAAAGCGUGGGGAGCAAACAGG